Molecule: ribosomal RNA, 215 nt
Filed under: uncultured bacterium
Lineage: Bacteria
Description: partial 16S ribosomal RNA
Rfam family: Bacterial small subunit ribosomal RNA
Source: RNAcentral
UACGUAGGGUGCAAGCGUUGUCCGGAAUUAUUGGGCGUAAAGAGCUCGUAGGCGGUCUGUCGCGUCUGCUGUGAAAACCCGAGGCUCAACCUCGGGCCUGCAGUGGGUACGGGCAGACUAGAGUGCGGUAGGGGAGAUCGGAAUUCUUGGUGUAGCGGUGAAAUGCGCAGAUAAUCAGGAGGAACACCGGUGGCGAAGGCGGAUCUCUGGGCCGU